This 167-nucleotide small RNA is filed under the name Fictibacillus phosphorivorans. RNAcentral's name for it is "c-di-AMP sequence". It matches the Rfam family "c-di-AMP riboswitch aptamer (ydaO/yuaA leader)". From Rfam's summary of the family: This family represents a conserved RNA structure found upstream of the ydaO and yuaA genes in Bacillus subtilis and related genes in other bacteria. The ydaO/yuaA element is thought to act as a genetic "off" switch for the ydaO and yuaA genes in its native state. The record is from RNAcentral. Lineage: Bacteria; Bacillati; Bacillota; Bacilli; Caryophanales; Fictibacillaceae.
AUAUAUGAUUCGCUGAAUUCUGAUGUUCUAUUCAAUAGAAUAUUCUGAAGCGGGGGAACCACAAUACGGCUUUAAAGCCUUGGGAUGAAUUUGUGCAUGGCACAAAAGGGACAACUCUCAAUUUCCUAAUCCGACAGCUAACCUCGUAAGCGUUUUUGGAGAGAGAA